CAGCCGCCGCGGUAAUACGAAGGGGGCUAGCGUUGUUCGGAUUUACUGGGCGUAAAGCGCACGUAGGCGGACUUUUAAGUCAGGGGUGAAAUCCCGGGGCUCAACCCCGGAACUGCCUUUGAUACUGGAAGUCUUGAGUAUGGUAGAGGUGAGUGGAAUUCCGAGUGUAGAGGUGAAAUUCGUAGAUAUUCGGAGGAACACCAGUGGCGAAGGCGGCUCACUGGACCAUUACUGACGCUGAGGUGCGAAAGCGUGGGGAGCAAACAGGAUUAGAUACCCCUGUAGUCCCUGUCUCUUAUAC
This 301-nucleotide ribosomal RNA is filed under the name uncultured bacterium. RNAcentral describes it as "partial 16S ribosomal RNA". It matches the Rfam family "Bacterial small subunit ribosomal RNA", at positions 509 to 807 of the family's 1533-position model. The record is from RNAcentral.